RNAcentral lists this ribosomal RNA (442 nucleotides) under uncultured bacterium. RNAcentral's name for it is "partial 16S ribosomal RNA". It matches the Rfam family "Bacterial small subunit ribosomal RNA", at positions 338 to 795 of the family's 1533-position model. The record is from RNAcentral.
CCUACGGGAGGCAGCAGUGGGGGAUCUUUCACAAUGGGGGGAACCCUGAUGCAGCGACGCCGCGUGGGUGAUGGAGGGCUUCGGCGUGUAAACUGCUUUUGUAAGCGAGGAAUAUGAUGGUAACUUAUGAAUAAGGAUCGGCUAACUACGUGCCAGCAGCCGCGGUCAUACGUAGGGUCCGAGCAUUAUCCGGAUUGACUGGGUGUAAAGAGUGGCGUAGGUGGCAUGAUAAGUAGCUAGUGAAAGCUGGUGGCUCAACCAUUCAGACUAUUAGUUAAACUGUUUAGCUCGAGACCGGGAGGGGUAACUGGAAUUGCUAGUGUAGGAGUGAAAUACGUAGAUAUUAGAAAGAACACCAAUAGCGUAGGCAGGCUACUGGGACGGUUCUGACGCUAAGGCACGAAAGCGUAGGGAGCAAACGGGAUUAGAUACCCGAGUAGUC